This 298-nucleotide unclassified non-coding RNA is filed under the name uncultured Ascomycota. RNAcentral's name for it is "sequence contains ITS1". The stretch from base 1 to 106 matches the Rfam family "5.8S ribosomal RNA", at positions 50 to 154 of the family's 154-position model. Lineage: Eukaryota; Fungi; Ascomycota. The record is from RNAcentral.
GAAAUGCGAUAAGUAGCACGAAUUGCAGAGCCUCAUGAGUCAUCGAAUCUUUGAACGCACAUGGCGCCCCCUCGCACUCGGGGGGGGCAUGCCUGUCCGAGCGUCAGUGAGCCCCCUCAGGCCCCCCCGCCUGGUGCUGGGCCAGGCCGCGCCCCCGCGCGCGGCCGGCCCCAAAUCGAGUGGCCGCCCCCCCCGGGCCCCCGGCGUCGUCCAAGCCCCGCCGCGGGACCCAGGUCCGGCGCGCCAGAAGCCCCUCCAGUCAGACCUCGGAUCAGGUAGGGAUACCCGCUGAACUUAA